Molecule: non-coding RNA, 93 nt
Organism: Xylaria sp. CBS 124048
Lineage: Eukaryota; Fungi; Ascomycota; Sordariomycetes; Xylariales; Xylariaceae
Source: the annotation of a GenBank genome assembly
GGCUUGGUGGUCUAGCGGUAUGAUUCUCGCUUAGGGUGAUACCCUUUAAGUUCAAUUUGCGAGAGGUCCCGGGUUCAAUCCCCGGCCAAGCCC